CCCUCCAGGAAAGUGGACUGCUGGGAAAGCAGAACAUCCUCGGCAUCAAUGUGAUGCUCCUUGGUGUCUUUUUCUGGGGUGACGGCUUCUUCUUUUCCCUCAGUUUCGUGUUCGAUGGCGUCUGAAGGCGUGUCUACAUGGAUGGUGCUUUUGUGGAGCUCCAGGGCUGAGCGAAGCGGGAACGCCUUGUCGCAACACUCGCACACAAAGCGGUGAAACUUACUUACGCAGCGACGAAGGUUGGUCUCACACCAGACCUGACGAAGACCAAGGUAAGCAAGCAAGCCAGCUUAUAAAAGGAGGUGAGGGGACAGGCGAUUGCCUAUUAAUAGAAGCCCACAAGACAUCCAGAAGUCCUGAUAGCCACUGACAGGAAGAACUUUAUGAAGAGACGUGUCACUAUUGGCUGCUGAAGUGCACAGCCAGCAGUUUUUACAGCCGGCUAAAAACGAACAGCAACAGAUGGCUUCAAGAGGAAGGAUGGAGAGCUUCUCAGAUGGAAAGAAAGAUGGAUGCAGUAGUCACAGGAGG
Molecule: non-coding RNA, 531 nt
Organism: Doryrhamphus excisus (bluestripe pipefish)
Lineage: Eukaryota; Metazoa; Chordata; Actinopteri; Syngnathiformes; Syngnathidae
Source: RefSeq, a predicted model, not a curated record